Molecule: ribosomal RNA, 253 nt
Filed under: uncultured prokaryote
Description: partial 16S ribosomal RNA
Rfam family: Bacterial small subunit ribosomal RNA
Source: RNAcentral
UACGUAGGUUGCGAGCGUUGUCCGGAUUUACUGGGCGUAAAGCGCGCGCAGGCGGUCCUGAAAGUCGAAUGUGAAAGCUCCUGGCUCAACUGGGAGAGGCCGUUCGAAACUUCGGGACUUGAAGGCGGGAGAGGCAGAUGGAAUUUCCGGUGUAGCGGUAAAAUGCGUAGAUACCGGAAGGAACACCAGUGGCGAAAGCGAUCUGCUGGCCCGCCCUUGACGCUCAGGCGCGAAAGCCAGGGGAGCGACCGGG